CAGCCGCCGCGGGAAUACGUAGGUGGCAAGCGUUGUCCGGAAUUAUUGGGCGUAAAGCGCGCGCAGGUGGUUUAAUAAGUCUGAUGUGAAAGCCCACGGCUCAACCGUGGAGGGUCAUUGGAAACUGUUAAACUUGAGUGCAGGAGAGAAAAGUGGAAUUCCUAGUGUAGCGGUGAAAUGCGUAGAGAUGUGGAGGAACACCAGUGGCGAAGGCGACUCUCUGGUCUGUAACUGACGCUGAGGAGCGAAAGCGUGGGGAGCGAACAGGAUUAGAUACCCCGGUAGUCCCUGUCUCUUAUAC
RNAcentral lists this ribosomal RNA (301 nucleotides) under uncultured bacterium. RNAcentral describes it as "partial 16S ribosomal RNA". It matches the Rfam family "Bacterial small subunit ribosomal RNA", at positions 509 to 807 of the family's 1533-position model. The record is from RNAcentral.